Molecule: non-coding RNA, 135 nt
Organism: Triticum aestivum (bread wheat)
Lineage: Eukaryota; Viridiplantae; Streptophyta; Magnoliopsida; Poales; Poaceae
Source: Rfam
GUGCUACUCCCUCCGUUCCAAAUUACUUGACCCAUAUUUAUCUAUACACGAAUGUAUCUAGACACUAAACAAGUAUAGAUACAUCCGUACUUAGAAAAAUUCAAGUCAACUAAUUUGGAACGGAGGGAGUAUUAG